CAAAGAGUAGACAAGGUGCGUAAAGUGUUAAAGGAUGGGAAGUUGCCUUUAAACGAAAAUAGGUCAUUGCGGUACCUUGUCGCUUCCGCUUG
Molecule: regulatory RNA element, 92 nt
Organism: Eubacterium limosum KIST612
Lineage: Bacteria; Bacillati; Bacillota; Clostridia; Eubacteriales; Eubacteriaceae
Rfam family: THF (Tetrahydrofolate) riboswitch aptamer
About the family: THF riboswitch presents a pseudoknot that joins P1-P2 and the loop of P3 and two THF binding.
Source: Rfam